Molecule: unclassified non-coding RNA, 387 nt
Filed under: fungal sp.
Lineage: Eukaryota; Fungi
Description: partial internal transcribed spacer region
Rfam family: Eukaryotic small subunit ribosomal RNA (bases 1-46)
Source: RNAcentral
AAGUCGUAACAAGGUUUCCGUAGGUGAACCUGCGGAAGGAUCAUUAACACGUAUCCAAACGUUAAAACAACCCUGUGAAUAUUAACGCGUGUUCUUGCUUGACACCAAAACAGCAAUCUCUCGUAAAACAGGCGCUAAAGAAUUACAGAUAUUGAUUUGAGAGAAUUCUGUCAGUCGGUGGACGUUGCAAUUGAGCACUAGAUAAAGCACCCUGGUACCUUCUGAUCUAUCACCAAUGUCUGAAAGUGUCAAGUGAUGGUCAGGGUAACGCAGUCAACGAUGUGGAGGCUAACGCCCUUACGUCACCCCUAUGUACCCUCCGGGACUUGGCGAAAGCUGACUCCGUCAUAAAUCGAACAACUGUUAACAAUGGAUAUCUUGGUUCUC